Molecule: unclassified non-coding RNA, 8801 nt
Filed under: Homarus americanus (American lobster)
Lineage: Eukaryota; Metazoa; Arthropoda; Malacostraca; Decapoda; Nephropidae
Description: uncharacterized LOC121854184, transcript variant X11
Source: RNAcentral
UCACUCGCAGUUUCGAGCCAAGUUUUCUGCCAUGCACACGACCGAACUUUGAUAAUAUAUUUUUUUUUCGAACUUAGGUUUAAGGAUAUUUAUUACGAACGUUUAAGUGUGCUUAGUGUAAUGUUUCUGUGAGUUAUUUAUUCUAAACGACGUAUGUUUGUGUAUUCAGUGUGAUUUUAGCGAAUAGUCAUGGCGACUUACGAUAAUGCUACUGUCGAAGCCACGAUCUCUGCCACAGUCUCGGACAACGAUGACGACGAUCCCCACACAACCAAUACCCUCCCUACGUCCGACGAUGGUGCGCAGUAUCGUGCAUCUGGAGAGUCGAUGGUGACGAUGACGAUGGUCAGUCAAGGAAAGAAGGAGGAGAAAGAAAAUCCCACGUCACACACAGAAGAUAAGGAGGAACAGAAGAGAUCACUCCCCUUCAUCAGGAUACCAAAACUGAAGCGCGAGAAGUCUUACUCUGAGACUCUCGAGAGGAAGAAGAAGAGAGUCAAGUUCUCCCCCAACGAUGGCGACAAUGACGUCAUAGUAGACACACGCGUGUUUGAGCCCCAGCUGGUCGACUCGUGCCAGAGGGAAGACGCGGGCAAAGAUGAUAACGUGGUGUCCUCGACGAUAAAGAAACUCCUGAGAAAGAGUUCAAAGAAGAGAAAGGCGAGUAUUGAAACACAGACGGAAGAGAAGAAAGAUGAAGACAAGGAUAAACACGAUCACAAGGUCAGGAAAGGUGAUCAAGAAACACCUGAAGGAGAAUUAAGUAUCCUGGGUGACGUGGAGCCGCCUUCCCCUGACAGCCAGAGUGAACAGGAGGGUGACGAACCUCUCGAUAUUGAUGCCAGUGACCACACAGGUAACGUCAGCUCUCCAGACAGUAAUAUACCGAAAUCUCCACCUGCCAGAGCCUCAGAUGAGUCCUUGAGCCUCAUGCAGCCUUCCUCCGGGUUAGUCACAGCUAAUACAGGUGACGGUGCCAACUGUGACGUCAGUGCUGAGGCCGUGGUGCCAACAGUGCCAUGUCCUACGAAGAAAGAAGGUGAAGACGUGACAAAGUCUGAUAGCAAUGAACCUUGUUUGUCUACCUUAGAGAGACACACAGAUACAGCAGUACCUGAAGUUAAUAAUGACUCCGACCAGAGGAUAAAUAGUCUAAAUCAGACUCUUAAUAAUUCAAGGAAAUUCCCUGAUGAGAAAUAUGAAUAUGAUGCAGGAGUUCCCCGUCAGGUUGCCUCUCUCUCGGAAGAGCAGGAGCUGGAAAUAAGUGAAUUCAGCAAAAGUGGCGAGGAACUACUGACCCUAGCCAUAUCAAACGACUCUAGUCCCACAUCCUCUCAGGUGACCGUCAAGCGUGAGGGCACCUUCACCUUGGACGGUUCCCCUCCAGCCAAAAUCACGAAGCCAUCCUGCGACGCUGAUGGUGCGGUCGCUGAGGGUACGGUCCCCAAACUGCCCCCAAGAGACAGUCUCAUGGAACCUCUCCAGUUCUUUGUUGACCUCAACGUACCAGAACUAUUAGCGUUAAAAGAUUCUCCUGAAGUUCUUUUGGCUUCAGAAAAUAAGAACAAUAAGGAUUCUGUUGUACCAGUAGCUAAGAUUUCUCCAAGAACAAGUAAACCUAGCAAGCCAAUAGGCAGUAAUAAAAAGACUGAUGAUCAGAAUUCUUCCAUAACAACUUUAAAGAACAAUGCCAAGAGAACUUUUGUAAACGCUUGGAGAACAGCCACUAAGACACAGGAGACUCUGAACAAUCCCUUGAAACCUGUGCUGAAGACUCCUCGAGAACCAUCAACACCGAGGUCGUCCCCAGCUAAAUUAGCCCAGGCGAAAACCCCCAGGACCAACACGGUCCGGAAGCAGACCGACGCCAAGACCUCGAAGUCCGUGACCUGGGAUAGGCAGCUGAUACCGAAGAAGGAACCUCGAGAGCCUCCUGGUGGACGUAGCCGGGAGCCCACCAGGAGUCUUCCCCGCCAGGAGUCUGCGAGGUCACCCCCAGAGAGGAGCUCAGUAUGGGGUGGGGUGUCGCUGCCAACCUUCAGGAGGGAGGGAACCUUCACCAAGAAGUACGACUCCGAGAGGGACCGCCUGCAGGCCGAGUGUAACAGACUCAGCGUCGAGAAGGAAAGGCUUCAGAGCGAACUGAGUGAGGCACGCACGAGGCUGGAGGAAGAGGCAGUGGCCAGGAAGGCUCUAAGACGCACGCACGACCUCAACCUGAGACACCUGAGGGAGGGCGAACUCAGGAGGACCGAGUUACUCCUUGGAGACAUGAAGAAUAGACUGGAGGACGAGAAACGCGAGGCUCUGGCGCAACAGAAGGAGGCGCUGACGAGAACCCACGAAUCCGACUUGAUGCGGGUAGACCGGGAGAGGGACGAGGACUACCGGCGGCUGCUACAGGAGGCCAGGAACACCCAAGAGAAACUCAAGGCCGAGAUACGACGAGAAUCUUACAGAUCUGAACAUCCUCCCUUGCAGUGUUGCCACAGUACAGAUCGUGACCUGGAUAGAUUGAAUCGAGAUUUGUCAACGCUGCGCGAACACAAGAAGCGACUGGAGGAAGCAGUUCUGACCCUUCAGGAGACAGAGCGUAAGCGUGCCAGUGAGCUCCGGAGACUGCACGAGGAGCACGAAGCUGCCAUCGCUAAGAUACAUAGAGGCAACAAGUCCGAGGCAGCGCGACUGCUGGAUGAACUUCGGGCCAAGGAGCGGACCAUCGGCCAGUUGGAACGGCAGGUCAGCGCACAGUCCGCCAAACUCCGCCUACACGAUGAGAAGCAACGCGAGGGAAGCAACGAUCGAGGCGAGGAUGUUACCAGGAGGCAAACGGUACGUAUCAUUACUGAGGAGAAGAGGGAACUAAGUGACAGGAGACAGAGAACGUCUCGCGGCGGAGGGUCUGGUGCGUCCAAUAAGAAGCAGAGAGAAACUUGUAACAGCAGUACUAAGGAUGGCCGCCCCCGCGAGAAGGAGCCAUGUGUCAGCCACAACAACAACACCACCACCACUCGCCACCACCACCACCAUCUCCAACCCAACCAACCAGGCAGCGGACGACCAGAGAGCGUAGUGGAGAAGACUACGACUACUACCCCAGACGACCACGACCACAUCGCCCAGCCACCACCACCACCAGCCAUGGCAGCGGAGGUCGACCAGAUCAGGGUUCACCUACAGCAGCAGAAUACCCAAAUUGAGGAACAGAUUCAGCAGAUAGUAUUACAGAGGCAAGAGUGGGAGGAUGAACGGCAGCAGUUACUCAAGCGUUUGGAACAACAGCAGGAGCAGUUCGAAGCGGAGAAACAGAAAUAUGAAGAACAGCUGGAGGAUAAAUUACUACAGGUGGAGGAGCAGAAGCAAGUGAUGGAGGCGCAGAAGCAUGUGAUGGAGGAACAGAAACAGGUCAUGGAGGAACAGCAGCUGAGGAUUGAGGAUCUCGCUGAGGAGAUUAUGGAGCGGGAGUGCCUAGUACCUCCUCCCCCUACGUCGUGGCCCCCGAGGAGGGAGUCCUGCGUCAAGGUGUGUGAGCUGCCCACGGUACUGGAACUAAAUAGCGAAGAUGAGAGCACGCCCACAUCCACCACGCCUACCACGCCCACCACGCCCACCAAGCCUCAGCAGAACCACGCCCUUGAUCAAUUCUCGGCCUUCACUCUGGAGGAGCCGUGUGCGCCCUCAGCCCUUCUCACGCCCACCACUCCAGGCACCGAACCACCAGAUUGGCCUAAGGUUAAUGAGAAGGAAAUCGACAACCAGUUUGUUCACCUGUCAAGAGAACACCAGGAGCUGCAGAAGUCGUAUCAGCUGCUGGCAUCCACCUCAGCGGCCGGCUCACCUGUCGUCGAUUUCUCGGGCAAAGAGGGUCCGGCGACGUGGUGGUUGUCGGCUCGAGUGCUGGAACUGGAAGCCCUGGCGGCGACACUGAGGGUGGAGCUGCAGGAGACGAGGGACCAGGCUGACCUGCUGGAGUUCCGCUGUCUGGAGCUGACCGAGGGCGCUGACAGGGGAUCAGAGUCGGUUGCAACGGUAGAAACGCGCGACCAAUCAACUAGCACCGACUUGGAUGACGUCAGUAGUGCUGUAACCAAUGAGGACUUGUCGCUGCCGCUCUCUAUAGAUUCGGGAGUCGACAUAUCCAACGAUUAUAAGAAGGCGCGCGUGUCUGAAGGGCGGGUGUGGCUGGCUCAGCUAUCCCGCGCGGCCGGCGACCAGGAGAAUCCCGCCGCCCACCACCUGGCCGCCCUCCUCGACUGGGUGGCUGCCCUUCCCACUCACACCCAUCAUGCCUUGUCUUCACCCAUGAGCCCCACUCUGGCCACGCCCACGCCCACACCCAAGAAUAGGAUGGGCGUGGAGGAGCUAGGCUGUGACCUAGGGCGGGACCUGAUGCUGCUGGCCGCCCGCCUGCAGGAGUCUCUUACAGACCCUGCUGCCCAGGAGCCCGUCCUGCUUGACACCAUCACGAAACUACGUAUGCUUGACAGCACCCUAUCAGAGCUUCAGGAACGUGUGGUGAACCUGACGGAGGAAAAUCGUGAGUUACAGGAGGCGGUAACAAACCUAAGUGAGGCUCACGAGACGCGGACCGAGGCAUCUGGGACGGAGAGUGAACUGGUGCACCGCAAGACGCCGUCCAUACACUCGGACCUGAGCGACGCUGAGAGUGACUCCCCAGAACAUGUCCAGCAGCACCGGCCUGUCAAGAUGGUGACUGCCUUAGACGCCACCACCAGUUUCCAGGAGUCUGGGAUCUUCGACACGUCUUGCGAGCUGGUUCACGUCACCACACAGACCGACCUGUCACAGGUGUCUGUGUUGGAUCAUGAGGUCGACCUCGACAAGUCUGAGUGUGACAUCCAGCAGGCGGAGGUUGACCUACAGAGUGCCGUGGCUCGCCUGGCUGCCAUAAGGUCUACUGUACAGGGUCGCGACCUGAGACACCUGAGACUCCAAGACCUACAGGAGAGUGAUGAAUACCUCAAGGCGGCCCUGGAUGACGAGCGGGUGAGUCUGACUAAGCUGGAGUAUGACAGCAUCGUGGAGGGUGAGCGGUGUCUUCAGCGGGAACUUGAACACCUCAAGUGCGAGAAGGAACAGCUGAUACUCGAGUGUGAAUCCAUCAAGGAUCAGUUUAGAAAAUACAGCUCAGGCCAUGGGACAGACGCAGAAGAAGCCCUGAAGGGUGAGAUUCGCGUCCUGAGGCAGCGACUUACAGCGUCUGAGAGAGCGCGACGAGAGGUAUUUGAUGAAAAGUGUGAACUGGAAGAGGAGGAAAACGACUCGCGUCUUAUGGUUCAGAGGUUGGAGUCACAGAUGGAGGCAGCACGGGAGAUGGAGAAUCUGCUCAGUGCUUCUCUAUCCCAGGAACAGGAGAUCUCCAGAGAGCUACACCGACGAGUCAGAGAUUUACAGGUACUUGAGAAGGAACACCGAGGGCGUUUUGUGAAGUUAGAAUCUGUAAUUCGCAGAGCUGAAGAAAAAGCAUCUAACCUUGCCAAGGCCAGAGAUGCACUGGCUAUGCAGCUCAAUUUUGCAACUUAUGGGCUACUUAUAGCUGAUUACUGGAGACAUAUGGUACCACAGUCAACUGCUGCCCUCGUCCCAUACAGUGACAAGUCACUGCAAGUGUUUCCCGGAAACUACCCCACGAAGACCCACAACAUGGGGGAAAGUUACUCUGAAAAUGCCAUUAAAAGUGUGUCUGUGUGUGAUGUCUGCAAACAAACCUGUCUAGAGCUCCCCAAAAGAAAUGCUGGUGUACAGACCCAGUUUGAGUACCAGAGUAAGUCCACAGCAAAUUAUCAGCUUCAUCCUGAGGAACACGGCCAUCGACGAGCUGCUGAUGAGAAGGAUGAGGAUGAACCUGUCAAUAAACGACCAAGAAACAUAUCUACCAGGAGCCAGGCCACGAUGACCCAAAAGACAGAGUCCCUCUCUGAACGUGAACAGUACUACCUAGAGCAGAUUGAGUUCUUGCAAAAGGAGAAAAUCAAUCUUAGAAAGGGUCAAGAUAAUGACAGGCGUGACUCUCUACAGCAGCACCGUGAUUUAGAAGGCGAAAUUAAUGACGUAAGACUUCAACUCGAGGAAGCUGCACGUGAUAAAUGCAGUCUGUUAUUUCGCUUAGAAGAAGCUCAGGAUGAAAAGGAAGAAGUCAGACGUAAUUUACUUUUACGUAUAGAAGAACUGAAGGGUGAUAUGUCUCGUUACAAUGAUCUCCAUGAAUUGGAAAAGAAAACACUUCGUCAGGAGUUUGACGCUCGGCUCCAGGGGGUGCAGAAGGAACGCAACCAUCAAGAAGAGCGAGUGCGACAGUUGGAACUCCAGCUUUCAACCUUGAGGCAGGAGCUAGAGAUAGUUGGUGUUUCCAUAGCAAAUGAUCUCGUUGAUAUGGAUUCACACAUGGAAAAUGUCUUGUCGUGCGGUAGAAAGUCGCCAACGAAGCAUAGUGAAGAUAAUAGCGACCUUUUAGAUAAGAUCAGAGAAUUAGUUAAAUCAGAAACGAAUCUCAGACAAAAAAUUUAUGAUCUUGAGAAAAAGGAAUGUGCAUACCGUGAGACAAUAAGAGAAGCUGACAAGAUCAUGUCCAGCCAUGUAACAUCAUACAAGCAACGAAUAGAAGAUCUGGAGGCUGCCGCAGAUCAACAGUCUUUGAAAAUUCACCAGUUGGAGACGUCUGAGGAACGCUUGAGGACAAGUUUAAGAAAUAAUGCAAGAACUAGUGAAGGUGCACGUAUCUCUGACCUUUUGGACCACCUCAUUGAAACUGAAAAUUCUGAACUAAAACUGAAGGAGCAUGUGUGGAACCUUGAAAAGCGUGAAAAGGAACUCCAGAUAAAAUUAAUGGAAGCUGAGAAAACCAACCAAGCACUUCGUGGAGAACUACGCGACCAAGAGGAACUUGUCCACCGCCUCAUGACCUUGGAAACAGAGAAUAAUGCCCUGUCUGUUGAACUGAACCAGGCCCAGGACUCCUCUCGCAAAAUAUCUGAAGCUCAACAGAAUGAGAGCUACUUAAGGGGUCGUGUAGAGGAGCUUGAAGUCACAGAAAAUAUGUUACGAGAAACCCUUCACCAAGCUGAUCUUAUUCUGGCUCAGAGAGAAAGAAAGCUUAGAGACCAGGUGGAAUGUCUUCAAGAGGAAGUACAGUCAUACAAGGCUCAACUAGAGGCUGCUGCAUCAAAGGAAUAUGGUGCAAGGGAGUCUGAAGUGUCUUACAGAAGGAAAAUGGAGCAGCUGCGUAACCGCUUAGCUGACACUGAACGGGAGCUGAAGGAAUCGUCCUCUGAAACAAUCAGUCACGAGACACAACAUCGGUCAGAGGUAACAAAGCUUCGUAAUCAGUUGAAGCUGUGCAACUCGCAGCUGAUGGAGCUCGAUCGACUAAACUGUGAAUUACGUGAUCGGGUAAUGGCGGCAGAAGCAGAAGGGCAGCGUAUAGCCAAAGAAUUAGACGAGAGUGGCAGAAGACAUGAGCAGGAUCUUCUCACUCUCAACCUCCAGGUAUCAUCACGAGAUUCUCAAGUGGAGGAACUUGAGCACCAGUUGGAACAGAUGAGUCAUGCACAUGCUGCCAGUGAGUUGGAUGCCCUUGCUGCAUCACCCAUUGCUACGCUUCAUUCUUCCCUCACUGCUCUCACCACAGCUCUUAAAAGCUGUGAGUCGUGUAAUGCAUCUCAGAGUAGCACUCUAGCUGAUGUGACAAAUCAGCUGGGCACUCUGGUUGAGCUUGUUGAGGGCCAACCCAGCAAUCCAAACCUGGAGGACAUUACUUCUGAUGCUGACGAAGACGACGUAUCAGAAUCUUAUGACACAGACACAGCAGAAAACUUGGUCAACGAAGCCACUACGACCCCCCCUCCCAACCCCGCCGGGGAGGGGCCCAGGGAACAGUCGAGCGGGGAUACUGUCAACUGCAUCGCCAGCGGAAGGUUCCAAAGAAAUGCCCGCAGGAGAAGCAGAAGGCGGUUAGAGGAGCGCAGCAGCAGAAGGCUGGUGUGCCCUCAGGGCUCCUCCACAAUCCUGGAGGAGCUGGAGGAGAAGGUACGGGAGCUGGAGGAGGCUGUUGGUCACAAGGAGGAGGAGCUCCGUCUUGCUGAUAAUGAGGCUUGUGACCUUAACAAUCAGUUACAGUCUCGGAAUGUUACCAUCCAGCAAAAGAGUGAAGAGGCGGAGCAUCUUAAUACCAUCUUGGCCAGCCUUCGCCAGCAACUGGUGCACACUAUGGAGGAUGCCGAGCGUGCACGACUCUCAGUCCAGGCCAAGCAUAAGGUGGACCUGGAGGAGUUAACAAAACGAGUGGAGCAGGCGACAGAAAAAGCUGAACAUUUGGCUCGCCGGGGCCAGCUCAAGGAUUCUAUCAUCUAUACACUUGCCUCACAGAUCCGUGCAAUCCUCAGAUCGGGCAACAUGGGCGUAAUAAUCAACCAACUGCGCCGACUGAGCGAGGUUGGCCAGAGUGAACAAUUACCAAAUUUUGGUAACAGAGAUGACCAACAGCUGACUUCUGUUACCCCGCUGCCCCCUGUGCCAGACUUUGAUGUUGAUGCUGUCUGCUCAUUCCUCAAUCAACCCAGUGAGGACAUGAAUAUCUAAAAAAAAUGACUUGGAAUACGGAGAUAACCAGAGACGGGAUAGUGCCACUCCUGUUGGAAGAUGGCUUCCUUGUCUCAAUCUGCCAUCUUGAAUGGGAUGGAGCCAUCUAGUCACGUGACCCUCGAGUCUGACACCUCACUAGCUCCUUCUCAUAAUGAGUCGGAGCCCUCUAGUCACGUGACCUUCCGAGGCUCUCCUUCAUU